Molecule: non-coding RNA, 24 nt
Filed under: Arabidopsis thaliana (thale cress)
Lineage: Eukaryota; Viridiplantae; Streptophyta; Magnoliopsida; Brassicales; Brassicaceae
Source: RNAcentral
CAAUCAUACACAGUAAAACUUCGA